This 3732-nucleotide long non-coding RNA is filed under the name Sus scrofa (pig). Its description in RNAcentral is "lncRNA (ENSSSCG00000056537.1)". Lineage: Eukaryota; Metazoa; Chordata; Mammalia; Artiodactyla; Suidae. The record is from RNAcentral.
AGGACAAGGAAACUGAGAAUGGGUAUGGGGCCAGGAUGUGGGAACAAUGGAUGAAGAAAAAAUGAAGAACACAUAAAUGGGAGGAUUGAGAAGAGCACUUCCAAAUAUAUUGGAUAUAUUUCAGUGACCUGUUUUUUAUGUGAAACAAAUACUUUAGCAAGAGCUGACUGCAAAAGCAUCGCAUGUUUCUUCUUGCAUGCACAUUGAGUUAGUGAGAUCACUCAUAAUAAACAAAAUUUAUUGAGCACAUUACCAUGUGGCAGGUAAACUAAUUUGUAUGUAUUAAUUUGUAUUAUAAUCACAGCAUGUCUAAGGCAGGUUUGUUAUUUUCUUCUUUUAUAAAUAAAGUGAGGGACUGAGAAGUGCGAUAACUUCUCCAGGGCUAUUUCUGAAGCUAGGUGUCCCGGCUUAAGAGAAGUCCUGCUUAACUGCUAACUUAUACUUAUUUUGGCCCUUUGGAGAUUUUUUUUUUCUUUUUUUUUUUCUUUUUUACGGCUGCACCUGGGGGAUAUGGAAGGUCCCAGGGCAGGGGUGGAAUCAGAGCUUCAGCUGCUGACCUCCGCCAUAGCCAUGCACUGGAUUUGAGCUGCAUCUGCAGCCUACACCGCAACUUGUGGCAACACCAGAUCCUUAACCCAGUGACUGAGGCUAGGGGUCAAACCCACCUCCUCAUGAAUACUAUGUCAGGUUCUUAACCCUCUGAGCCACAGUGGAAACUCUAGGAGCUUUUAAAAUUACUACUAUUUUUUAUUUUUAUUUUUUGGCCAUGUCCGUGGCAUAUGGAAGUUCCUGGGCUAGGGAUCAAACCUGUGCCCCAGCAGCAACCCAAGCCACUGCAGUGACAGCCACUCCAGGCCCUUUACCUGCUGGGCCAUAAGGGAACUCCCUUUGAAGCAAUAUGGAGAUCCCUGUUGGCCUAGCAGGUUAAGGAUUAGGCAUUGUCACUGCUCUGGUGUGGGUUUGAUUCCUAGCCUGGGAACAUCCACAUGCCACAGAUAGAGCCAAAAUAAAUAAAUAAAUAAAAUGGCAGCCUGAAGAUGCAUUUAUUUUUUUUGUCCCCCUGAAAUCCCUAUAAAAUGAGAGUAAAGAGAUAAAGUAAGAUAAAACCCAAGGACAAAAAGAAUACCAUAGAAGAUGAACACAGCAAAAAUGUUGACAUCUGGAAAGUGGGAUACCUGGUAACUGAAUCGGUCUGAGAGCUGAAUGGAGCCCUUACCUGACAGAGUGGGGAGUUGAAAAGGGAUUUUACACCUGUGGAAUCCUAAAAGUCUCAUGGAAUGGUGACACCUCUAGAAAGUGAAGGGUGGAGGAGAGGUUGAAAAUUGGAGCUUUAGCUCCAGUUGUGUUUGAGAAGCAAUUAGAUUCCCAAAGCCCCUUUCUACUUUGAUAGAUUUUUGAGGUUUUAUUUUCAGGAGAGGUAAAGUAGAGAGCCUGGGGUGGGGUUAGCUAAAUUGUCUUGCACACCACUCCCAUAAGGGAAUAUUAAGUUUAUUCUCAACAGAACAACCAGACUGAUCCUGAGAAAAUACCUUCUCUUGUAGCCGGGAGUAAGAGUCAUCUUACUCAUUCCACUACAUUCACACUGGACUUCUUGCUCUUCCUCCAACAUGGGGACCACUUCUGCCUUGUGGCAUCGACUGUCUCUCUUCUCUGCUUGGAGUGUUCUUCCCCCAGAUAUCUGUAAGCCUCAUUCCCUCACUUUCCUAAGAUAUUUAGUUAAAUUUUACCUUUUCAAAUGGACUGUUUAUGAAAAACAGAUCUGAAAUUGCAACCUUCCCCAGUCCUUACUAUCUUUUUCUCUUGCUUUAUUCUUUCUUUUUUAUUUUUAUUGAUUUUAUUUAUUAAACUAUAGUUGAUUUACAAUGUUUGUUAGUUUCAGGUCUAUAGCUUCAGAUUCUUUUCUGUUAUAGGUUAUUAUGAGAUAUUGAAUGUAGUUCCAUGUGUUAUACAGUAAAUCAUUGUUGAUUAUCUCUUUCCUAUAUAGUGGUGUGCAUCUAUUAAUUCCAAACUACUAAUUUAUUCUUCCCUCUCUUCUUUCCCUUUGGUAACCAUAAGUUUGUUUUCUAUGUUUAUGAGUCUCUGUUUUACAAAAUAACUUGAUCUCAAUUAUAGUUUUAGAUUCUACAUGUAAGGAAUAUUGUGUACCUGUCUUUCUAUGCCUGACUUCACUUAAUAUGAUAAUCUCCAAGUCCACUUAUUUUGCUGCAAAUGGCAAUAUUUUAUUCUUUUUAAUGACUUGGUAGUAUUCCAUUCUCUAUAUAGCACAUCUUUUUUUAUCCAUUUAUCUGUUGAUGGACGCCUAAGUUGCGUCCAUGUUUUGGCUAUUGUAAAUGUUACCAUGAACACUGGGGGUGCAUGCAUGUUUUUAAAUUAGAGUUUUAGAGUUUUCCAGAUAAAUGUAUAGGGGUGGGCUUGCUGGAUCAUAUGGUAACUCUAUUUUUAAUUUUUAAAGUAGCCUCCAGAGUGUUUUCCAUAGUGGCUGCACCAGUUUAUAUUCCCACCAAUAGUGUAGAAUGGUUCCCUUUUCUCCACACCCUCUCCAGCAUUUAUUGUUUGUGGACUUGUUAAUGAUAGCCAUUCUGACUGGUGUGAGGUGGUACCUCAUUGUAGUUUUGAUUUCCAUUUCUCUAAUAAUUAUCAAUGUAGAGCAUAUUUUCACGUGCCUGUUGGCCAUCUGUAAUCUUCUUUGAAGAAAUGUCUGUUUAGGUUGUCUGCUCCCUUUUUGAUUCGGUUAUUUGUUUUAUUGAUAUUGAGUUGUAUUGAUAUUUUGGAGAUUAAGUUCUUCUUGGUUGCUUUGUUUGCAAAUAUUUUCUCCUAGUCCAUAGGUUAUCUUUUCAUUGUGUUUAUGGUUUCCCUUUGCUGCGCAAAAGCUUACAAAUUCGAUUAGAUCCUGUUUGUUUAUUUUUGCGUUUAUUUCUUUCGCCUUGGGAGACUGAACUAAGAAAAUAUUACUACAAUUUAUUUCCAAGAAUAUUUUUCCUAUGUUCUCUUCUAGGAGUUUUAUGGUAUUAUGUCUUAUAUUUAAGUCUUUAAGCCAUUUUAACUUUAUUUUUGUGUAUGGUAUAAGGAUAUGUUCUAACUUCAUUCAUUUACAUGUGGCUGUCUAGCUUUCCUAACACCACUUGCUGAAGAGACUGUCUUUUCUCUGUUGUAUAUUCUUGCCUCCUUUGUUGAAGAUUAAUUGACUAUAGGUGUAUGGGUUUGUUUCCAGCUUCUCUAUUCUUUUCUGUUGAUCUAUAUAGCUGCUUUGUGCCAUCUUCUUGCUUUAUUCUUCAAUUUAGCAUCCUAUUUAAUCUCCCUGUGCCUUAAUUUCUUUACAUGUAAAAGAAGGAAAAUAACAAAACUACUUUAUUUAUCAUGUUUCUUGUUUGUCUAUAUUCUGUGCCUCUUAUUCUGUUUGUUUUUCCUGUGAUAAUAGAAUAUAGAGAAAAUAGAUUCUCAGCAUUUGCUUUGUUCAACUACUGUCCCUUCAGAAAUUAGAAUAGUGCUUGACACAUAGUAAUUAAACAAUACCAUUUGAUAUAUUUAGAUGUCGUUGACAUAUGAAUAAAAGGAUUCCAAGAUUAAAGUUGAGGAAAUCUUUAGGAAAGUAUGUCAAAAGAUUGAAUGAAGGAAAUUGAGAGAUUAAGAAGAAAAUUUCGUGUCCAAUCUAGGAGGUUCAUUGUUCAAAUAAUAAGAGUUCAGAAAGAGAUAAUGGAGAAUAGAGGAGAAGACACACAUUAGAUAACCGAC